This 306-nucleotide ribosomal RNA is filed under the name Triticum aestivum (bread wheat). Its description in RNAcentral is "partial small subunit ribosomal RNA". Lineage: Eukaryota; Viridiplantae; Streptophyta; Magnoliopsida; Poales; Poaceae. The record is from RNAcentral.
AUGUUGUAUCUCUAUCGGACAGUUCUCCCCCUCCUAAAACUCUUAUACUCUAGUUGUUUAUUUAUUUUAUUAGGAGGAAUUUGUGGACUACAAACACACCAGCAGAUGAGCAGAAGUGGUGAGGAUGUCAUCACUUCCCCUACGGUGAAACUCCAAUCAGGUUGGAUGAUCAUAGUUAUUAAGCAAUUAAAUACCUGGACACACUCAACCAUGAUCUUUCAUAUGUCAUCUGAUAAGGAAACAAGCAUUGCUUCCAUUAAAUCUAAGCUAGUUAGCAGAAACAAGGUGAGAACCUUGUUUGGUUGA